GAGGAACCCUUCCGCGAUGUUCCUUGUAGACGGAGAAGGGAUUUUGUUCAUUUCUUCAGACCAUGAUUUGAAUCACUCAUGUUAAUUGACUCGUCUGCUCUGGUUCCUUUUAGCACAGUGUUCUGAUUCUGCUGGGAGUUCAUUCUCGCUAGGCUUACCAGUCGACCUAAAAUCACCAGUAAGAGGAUCUUUUGGACUCACAUCUCAAGUGGCUGAGAAGAAUCAGGGAACAUUUUAUAGGAUUUCUUUUCUUCUUUUGACUUGCGAACAUCUGGAAAACGGCUAUGCAGAUAUAGCAACAGGACUUUUGUUUCCACGUCCGAUACCAGAUCUUUGACGACUGCAGUUCUGUUCCUGCUUUAACACGGUUUCCAGGAGCAAUUAUAAGCCUUGAUCAGACUUGUGAGACUAUUUUGGACGGUUUCUGGAAAUACUGAUUCACCAUUGAAGAGGAAUGCCUCAGGGAGCAAAGGAACCCUACUCAAUCACAAAAUUACUUCUGUGUGGUACGUAAUGGAAUAUCUGGAAUGACAUUCACUUAAGUACACAUUCCUGAAAACAGUAUUGAGAGAUGGCAUAGAUCACCCACGUUACCUAAAUUCCUUGAGGCUUGGAGAGAUGGGCAUUUCUCUAACUCGUGAUGAUGCAAGAAAAAAUGGAGGUGGAAUAUUUAAAUUAAUUCAGAAUAAUGAAGCUCUCAUCCUUAUACACAUUUUCAGUGCUUUGCCAUUGGCCUGAUGCAUGACCUUAGUAAUAAAACUGAAAAGACAUCCUAGAAAAUGGGAAUUAGAAGAAAGUGCAAAGUGUGAUAAAAGCUCUCUCGGAUUUCUCUGGCAGUGAGAGAUAGAGUUUAAAGCAUUCUAAUUUCUAACAAGAAAAAUAAAAAGGAAAAGCCAAAAAAAGGACACCAAUCAGCAGCCGAGCGGAAUCCCGUUGUCAUCAUUUCCUCUGAUGUGUCCUUCCAGAAGUGCUCGGUGGCCGUGAGCGUGGCAUGAAGGCUGAAAGCCUGCAAGUAGAUUAAACCCAAGCAUGCAGCGUAUUGCAGAGGAAAUUCAGAGUGAAUCAAAUCCGUACUGAAGCUCAACGACUUCCUAAUUGCAGAUUUGAUCAUAGAAAGGAGACCAAACUAUCCACUCCAAGAAAAGAUACUAGCCAGGAUUGCUUGUUGCUAUGCAUCCGCAAGAUCUGAAGUAUCUGGAAAUGAAUCUGCCAGUUUCCUUCGUAGAGCUCAGAGUUCUCCCCUUGAGUGCACUGCUCGGCUCCUUGCGCUACGACGAUUUCAUUCCGAUUGACUGUAGCUGCGGUGUUUCGUCCCUUCUCCUCUGAAUUAUUGAAACAUUAAGUAGCAAAUUUCCCAAGUGCACUAUGGGCAGGUUGGAUAUCCUUUGAGUUCAAUUCUCAUUUUUGGCAAUUAAAUUAACAUUGUAUUGUG
Ornithorhynchus anatinus (platypus) is the source of this 1432-nucleotide long non-coding RNA. RefSeq lists it as uncharacterized. NCBI's taxonomy places the organism in Eukaryota, Metazoa, Chordata, Mammalia, Monotremata, Ornithorhynchidae. The transcript has 10 exons. The record is from RefSeq and is a predicted model, not a curated record.